This 76-nucleotide transfer RNA is filed under the name Amentotaxus yunnanensis. Its description in RNAcentral is "tRNA-Val". Lineage: Eukaryota; Viridiplantae; Streptophyta; Pinopsida; Cupressales; Taxaceae. The record is from RNAcentral.
GGGCUAUAGCUCAGCUUGGUGGAGCACCUCGUUUACACGGGCUAUAGCUCAGCUUGGUGGAGCACCUCGUUUACAC